UACGGAGGGUGCAAGCGUUAUCCGGAUUCACUGGGUUUAAAGGGUGCGUAGGUGGGUAGGCAAGUCAGUGGUGAAAUCUUCGGGCUUAACCCGGAAACUGCCAUUGAUACUAUUUAUCUUGAAUACUUUGGAGGUAAGCGGAAUAUGUCAUGUAGCGGUGAAAUGCUUAGAUAUGACAUAGAACACCAAUUGCGAAGGCAGCUUACUACACAGUUAUUGACACUGAGGCACGAAGGCGUGGGGAUCAAACAGG
This 253-nucleotide ribosomal RNA is filed under the name uncultured bacterium. RNAcentral's name for it is "partial 16S ribosomal RNA". It matches the Rfam family "Bacterial small subunit ribosomal RNA", at positions 524 to 776 of the family's 1533-position model. The record is from RNAcentral.